GAUGAACGCUGGCGGCGUGCCUAAUACAUGCAAGUCGAGCGAACAGACGAGGAGCUUGCUCCUCUGAUGUUAGCGGCGGACGGGUGAGUAACACGUGGAUAACCUACCUACAAGACUGGGAUAACUUCGGGAAACCGGAGCUAAUACCGGAUAACAUGUUGAACCGCAUGGUUCAACAGUGAAAGACGGUCUUGCUGUCACUUAUAGAUGGAUCCGCGCCGCAUUAGCUAGUUGGUAAGGUAACGGCUUACCAAGGCAACGAUGCGUAGCCGACCUGAGAGGGUGAUCGGCCACACUGGAACUGAGACACGGUCCAGACUCCUACGGGAGGCAGCAGUAGGGAAUCUUCCGCAAAGGGCGAAAGCCUGACGGAGCAACGCCGCGUGAGUGAAGAAGGUCUUCGGAUCGUAAAACUCUGUUAUUAGGGAAGAACAAAUGUGUAAGUAACUAUGCACGUCUUGACGGUACCUAAUCAGAAAGCCACGGCUAACUACGUG
Molecule: ribosomal RNA, 497 nt
Filed under: uncultured bacterium
Lineage: Bacteria
Description: partial 16S ribosomal RNA
Rfam family: Bacterial small subunit ribosomal RNA
Source: RNAcentral